CCUACGGGCGGCAGCAGUGAGGAAUAUUGGUCAAUGGGCUAAAGCCUGAACCAGCCAAGUCGCGUGAGGGAAGACGGUCCUAUGGAUUGUAAACCUCUUUUGUCGGGGAGCAACGAGGCCACGUGUGGCCGAAGUGAGAGUACUCGAAGAAAAAGCAUCGGCUAACUCCGUGCCAGCAGCCGCGGUAAUACGGAGGAUGCGAGCGUUAUCCGGAUUUAUUGGGUUUAAAGGGUGCGUAGGUGGAACAUUAAGUCAGCGGUAAAAUCGAGGGGCUAAACCCAUUAAAGCAAUUGAAACUGGUGAUCUUGAGUGGGAGAGAAGUAUGCGGAAUGCGUGGUGUAGCGGUGAAAUGCAUAGAUAUCACGAAGAACUCCGAUUGCGAAGGCAGCAUACUGGCGCGCGACUGACACUGAGGCACGAAAGCGUGGGGAUCAAACAGGAUUAGAUACCCGUGUAGUC
This 459-nucleotide ribosomal RNA is filed under the name uncultured bacterium. RNAcentral's name for it is "partial 16S ribosomal RNA". It matches the Rfam family "Bacterial small subunit ribosomal RNA", at positions 338 to 795 of the family's 1533-position model. The record is from RNAcentral.